AGCGGCGCACGGGUGAGUAACGCGUGGGAAUAUGCCCUGGGGCUGGGGAUAACGGCGGGAAACUGCCGCUAAUACCCGGUACGCCUUGAGAGGGAAAGGAGCAAUCCGCCCUGGGAGUAGCCCGCGUUGGAUUAGCUAGUUGGUGAGGUAAGUGCUCACCAAGGCGACGAUCCAUAGCUGGUCUGAGAGGAUGAUCAGCCACACUGGGACUGAGACACGGCCCAGACUCCUACGGGAGGCAGCAGUGGGGAAUAUUGGACAAUGGGGGCAACCCUGAUCCAGCCAUGCCGCGUGAGUGAAGAAGGCCUUAGGGUUGUAAGCUCUUUCGGCGGGGACGAUGAUGACGGUACCCGCAGAAGAAGCCCCGGCUAACUUCGUGCCAGCAGCCGCGGUAAUACGAAGGGGGCAAGCGUUGUUCGGAUUUACUGGGCGUAAAGGGCGCGUAGGCGGAUCUUUAAGUCAGAGGUGAAAGCCCUGGGCUCAACCCGGGAAUUGCCUUUGAGACUGGGGAUCUUGAGUAUGGGAGAGGGUGGCGGAAUACCCAGUGUAGAGGUGAAAUUCGUAGAUAUUGGGUAGAACACCAGUGGCGAAGGCGGCCACCUGGCCCAUAACUGACGCUGAGGCGCGAAAGCGUGGGGAGCAAACAGGAUUAGAUACCCUGGUAGUCCACGCCGUAAACGAUGGAAGCUAGCCGUU
Molecule: ribosomal RNA, 696 nt
Filed under: uncultured Rhodospirillaceae bacterium
Lineage: Bacteria; Pseudomonadati; Pseudomonadota; Alphaproteobacteria; Rhodospirillales; Rhodospirillaceae
Description: bacterial SSU rRNA
Rfam family: Bacterial small subunit ribosomal RNA
Source: RNAcentral